AAGUUGCAGGGUAUAGACCCGAAACCCGGUGAUCUAGCCAUGGGCAGGUUGAAGGUUGGUUAACACUAACUGGAGGACCGAACCGACUAAUGUUGAAAAAUUAGCGGAUGACCUGUGGCUGGGGGUGAAAGGCCAAUCAAACCGGGAGAUAGCUGGUUCUCCCCGAAAGCUAUUUAGGUAGCGCCUCAUGAGUAACUGUUGGGGGUAGAGCACUGUUUCGGCUAGGGGGCCAUCCCGGCUUACCAACCCGAUGCAAACUCCGAAUACUGACAAGUUUAAUCAUGGGAGACACACGGCGGGUGCUAACGUUCGUCGUGAAGAGGGAAACAACCCAGACCGCCAGCUAAGGUCCCAAAGUCAUAGUUAAGUGGGAAACGAAGUGGGAAGGCUUAGACAGCUAGGAUGUUGGCUUAGAAGCAGCCAUCAUUUAAAGAAAGCGUAAUAGCUCACUAGUCGAGUCGGCCUGCGCGGAAGAUGUAACGGGGCUAAAACUAUGCACCGAAGCUGCGGCAGCGUACGAAGUGUGUUGGGUAGGGGAGCGUUCUGUAAGCCGUAGAAGGUGUAUUGUGAGGUAUGCUGGAGGUAUCAGAAGUGCGAAUGCUGACAUAAGUAACGAUAAAGCGGGUGAAAAGCCCGCUCGCCGGAAGACCAAGGGUUCCUGUCCAACGUUAAUCGGGGCAGGGUGAGUCGACCCCUAAGGAGAGGCCGAAGGGCGUAUCUGAUGGGAAACGGGUUAAUAUUCCCGUACUGGCUAUAACUGCGAUGGGGGGACGAAGAAGGCUAGGUUUACCACCUAUUGGAUGGUGGGUUAAGCGUGUAGGGGUGUGAUUAGGCAAAUCCGGUCACUAAGACCCUGAGGCGUGAUGACGAGGCACUAAGGUGCUGAAGUAAUUGAUGCCCUGCUUCCAGGAAAAUCCUCUAAGCUUCAGGUUAUAGUUAAUCGUACCCGAAACCGACACAGGUGGUCAGGUAGAGAAUACUAAGGCGCUUGAGAGAACUCGGGUGAAGGAACUAGGCAAAAUGGUGCCGUAACUUCGGGAGAAGGCACGCUGAUGGUAAUUGAAGUCCCAUGCGGAUGGAGGUGAAAUCAGUCGAAGAUACCAGCUGGCUGCAACUGUUUAAUAAAAACACAGCACUGUGCAAACACGAAAGUGGACGUAUACGGUGUGACGCCUGCCCGGUGCUGGAAGGUUAAUUGAUGGGGUUAUGCGCAAGCAGAAGCUCUUGAUCGAAGCCCCAGUAAACGGCGGCCGUAACUAUAACGGUCCUAAGGUAGCGAAAUUCCUUGUCGGGUAAGUUCCGACCUGCACGAAUGGCGUAAUGAUGGCCAGGCUGUCUCCACCCGAGACUCAGUGAAAUUGAAAUUGCCGUGAAGAUGCGGUGUACCCGUGGCAAGACGGAAAGACCCCGUGAACCUUUACUAUAGCUUGACAGUGAACAUUGAGCCUUAAUGUGUAGGAUAGGUGGGAGACUAAGAAGUGUGUACGCCAGUAUGCAUGGAGUCGCCCUUGAAAUACCACCCUUUAAUGUUUGAUGUUCUAACCUAUACUUCUGAAUCGAGGUAAGGGACACUGUCUGGUGGGUAGUUUGACUGGGGCGGUCUCCUCCCAAAGAGUAACGGAGGAGCACGAAGGUUAGCUAAUCCUGGUCGGACAUCAGGAGGUUAGUGCAAUGGCAAAAGCUAGCUUGACUGCGAGAGUGACGGCUCGAGCAGGUACGAAAGUAGGUCAUAGUGAUCCGGUGGUUCUGAAUGGAAGGGCCAUCGCUCAACGGAUAAAAGGUACUCCGGGGAUAACAGGCUGAUACCGCCCAAGAGUUCAUAUCGACGGCGGUGUUUGGCACCUCGAUGUCGGCUCAUCACAUCCUGGGGCUGAAGUAGGUCCCAAGGGUACGGCUGUUCGCCGUUUAAAGUGGUACGCGAGCUGGGUUUAGAACGUCGUGAGACAGUUCGGUCCCUAUCUGCCAUGGGCGUAGGAAAAUUGAGAGGGUUUGCUUCUAGUACGAGAGGACCGAAGUGAACGCACCGCUGGUGUUCGGGUUGUGAUGCCAAUUGCAUUGCCCGGUAGCUACGUGCGGAAUAGAUAAGUGCUGAAAGCAUCUAAGUACGAAACUAGCCUCGAGAUGAGUUUUCCCUGAUGAGAAUCAGUAAGGUCCGUUUGAGACUAAGACGUAGAUAGGUCAGGUGUGUAAGUGUAGUGAUACAUUGAGCUAACUGAUACUAAUGAACCGAGAGUCUUAACCUUACAACUC
This 2250-nucleotide ribosomal RNA is filed under the name Gilliamella apicola. Its description in RNAcentral is "bacterial LSU rRNA". It matches the Rfam family "Bacterial large subunit ribosomal RNA", at positions 697 to 2925 of the family's 2925-position model. RNAcentral also lists the same sequence under 1 other name. The record is from RNAcentral. Lineage: Bacteria; Pseudomonadati; Pseudomonadota; Gammaproteobacteria; Orbales; Orbaceae.